GUUAGUGGCGGACGGGUGAGUAACGCGUGAGAAUCUGCCCUCAGGAGGGGGAUAACGGCUGGAAACGGCCGCUAAUACCCCAUAUGCCGAGAGGUGAAAUGAAAUUCGCCUGAGGAUGAGCUCGCGUCUGAUUAGCUAGUUGGUGGGGUAAGAGCCUACCAAGGCAUCGAUCAGUAGCUGGUCUGAGAGGAUGAUCAGCCACACUGGGACUGAGACACGGCCCAGACUCCUACGGGAGGCAGCAGUGGGGAAUUUUCCGCAAUGGGCGAAAGCCUGACGGAGCAACGCCGCGUGAGGGAUGAAGGCCUCUGGGCUGUAAACCUCUUUUAUCAAGGAAGAAGAUCUGACGGUACUUGAUGAAUAAGCCACGGCUAAUUCCGUGCCAGCAGCCGCGGUAAUACGGGAGUGGCAAGCGUUAUCCGGAAUUAUUGGGCGUAAAGCGUCCGCAGGCGGCCUGAUAAGUCUGUUGUCAAAGCGUGGAGCUUAACUCCAUUUCGGCAAUGGAAACUGUGAGGCUUGAGUGUGGUAGGGGCAGAGGGAAUUCCCGGUGUAGCGGUGAAAUGCGUAGAGAUCGGGAAGAACACCAGUGGCGAAGGCGCUCUGCUGGGCCAUAACUGACGCUCAUGGACGAAAGCCAGGGGAGCGAAAGGGAUUAGAUACCCCUGUAGUCCUGGCCGUAAACGAUGAACACUAG
Molecule: ribosomal RNA, 694 nt
Filed under: uncultured cyanobacterium
Lineage: Bacteria; Bacillati; Cyanobacteriota
Description: bacterial SSU rRNA
Rfam family: Bacterial small subunit ribosomal RNA
Source: RNAcentral